RNAcentral lists this ribosomal RNA (256 nucleotides) under uncultured soil bacterium. RNAcentral's name for it is "partial 16S ribosomal RNA". It matches the Rfam family "Bacterial small subunit ribosomal RNA", at positions 26 to 285 of the family's 1533-position model. The record is from RNAcentral.
AGGACGAACGCUGGCGGCGUGCUUAACACAUGCAAGUCGAGCGAGGCUCUCCUUCGGGAGAUGUCCGAGCGGCGAACGGGUGAGUAACACGUGGGCAACCUGCCUCUAGCUCUGGGAUAACUCCGGGAAACCGGGGCUAAUACCGGAUACGACCUCGAGCGGCAUCUAUCGAGGUGGAAAGUUUUUCGGCUAGAGAUGGGCCCGCGGCCUAUCAGCUUGUUGGUGAGGUAACGGCCCACCAAGGCGACGACGGGUA